AUGCAAGUCGAGCGGACAGAUGGGAGCUUGCUCCCUGAUGUUAGCGGCGGACGGGUGAGUAACACGUGGGUAACCUGCCUGUAAGACUGGGAUAACUCCGGGAAACCGGGGCUAAUACCGGAUGGUUGUCUGAACCGCAUGGUUCAGACAUAAAAGGUGGCUUCGGCUACCACUUACAGAUGGACCCGCGGCGCAUUAGCUAGUUGGUGAGGUAACGGCUCACCAAGGCGACGAUGCGUAGCCGACCUGAGAGGGUGAUCGGCCACACUGGGACUGAGACACGGCCCAGACUCCUACGGGAGGCAGCAGUAGGGAAUCUUCCGCAAUGGACGAAAGUCUGACGGAGCAACGCCGCGUGAGUGAUGAAGGUUUUCGGAUCGUAAAGCUCUGUUGUUAGGGAAGAACAAGUGCCGUUCAAAUAGGGCGGCACCUUGACGGUACCUAACCAGAAAGCCACGGCUAACUACGUGCCAGCAGCCGCGGUAAUACGUAGGUGGCAAGCGUUGUCCGGAAUUAUUGGGCGUAAAGGGCUCGCAGGCGGUUUCUUAAGUCUGAUGUGAAAGCCCCCGGCUCAACCGGGGAGGGUCAUUGGAAACUGGGGAACUUGAGUGCACAAGAGGAGAGUGGAAUUCCA
This 634-nucleotide ribosomal RNA is filed under the name Bacillus velezensis. RNAcentral describes it as "bacterial SSU rRNA". It matches the Rfam family "Bacterial small subunit ribosomal RNA", at positions 55 to 671 of the family's 1533-position model. The record is from RNAcentral. Lineage: Bacteria; Bacillati; Bacillota; Bacilli; Caryophanales; Bacillaceae.